AUGAAGUAUGCGCACGCCCGCGCGGACGCCGCGCACGGCCACGUCUCGCCGUCCGCGGUCCUGCUCGUCCCCCUCCUCCGCCGCGCCACGCACGCCAUGUCUGGCCACUCGCACUUCUCCUCCACCGCGCACCGCAGCCCCACCUCCACCAGCCCGCUGGCAGCCGUGACCCCGCAGCGCGCCUGCAACCUGCAGGCGGUGUUCAACAAGAUCCUGAACAUGGCGGUGGCGGGCGUGCUGGCCAAGGACCAGAUGGUGCGGCGCGUGUUUGUGCCGAGCGACAUGGAGUUCGACGGACGGCGAGGCCUUACUACUCCUGUCUGCCCCACGAGAGGGGUGCGACCGCGAGGUGCGGUGCGGUGCGAUGGGUGUGGAGAGGUUGCGUCCGACCAUGUGGUGUCGUGUGGUCGAUCCGACCAGGUGGUUUGGGGUGGAGCUGCAUGGAGUGAGAUGCGGACAACAAUAGGGCGAAGAAGCAUGCGAUCGAGGAGUGCAAGCAGCGGCGCUCCUUUGCAAUGGGUUGUGGCUGCAGGGGAGGGGAGGCAGCCAACGACGGGGAGAAUGAGCAGGUCGUUGAGGAGUGCAAGCAGCAGGAGCAGUCAGACCUCCAAGAUAGGUGAGCCUGAUUUCUUCUGCAACUCUUCCACCACAGUUAUCUGCCGCCACCACCCGUCCCCGGCUCCGCCGCCCGUCCCUCCCUCCACCGCGCCGCCGCAGCUGGUCCCCGCCUCCACCGCACUGCCGCAGGUGGCCCUGCCUCCACCCCGCCGCCGUCGGGGCCCUUGUCCACUGCGCCCCCCACCAGUCCUCCUCCAAUGGCGCGACCGCCACCGGGCAGUCCUCCCCUGCCCUAGCACCACGGCUGCAGUUGGCAGCACCGCCGCCGGCUCCCGUCUACGCAUCCGCAGCCGCUGGUCACCACUGAAGCCGGGCACCAUCUCCCCCUCUGUCCUCAACCCCCUCUGCCCCACGCCACGUACUUCAAAGGUGAAGAAUUUGCUUCAGAACAGGGAGGAGUACCUGAGAUGGUGGGCAGCCGUUUUCAGGAUGCCCCAGAAACAGGUCAAGGAAUUAAACAGAAGAGGAAGAAUUGCAAGGCAGCAUGAUGUUGGUGAUCUAGCAUGUAUACUCCAUAAAGCAAGUUUGGAUAAUAUGGUUGUUCUACAAGGCAAAAUUUCAUUUUUGAUUGAUGCUCGUUAG
Molecule: ribosomal RNA, 1200 nt
Filed under: Triticum aestivum (bread wheat)
Lineage: Eukaryota; Viridiplantae; Streptophyta; Magnoliopsida; Poales; Poaceae
Description: partial small subunit ribosomal RNA
Source: RNAcentral